This 226-nucleotide long non-coding RNA is filed under the name Monodelphis domestica (gray short-tailed opossum). RNAcentral's name for it is "lncRNA (ENSMODG00000048640.1)". The record is from RNAcentral. Lineage: Eukaryota; Metazoa; Chordata; Mammalia; Didelphimorphia; Didelphidae.
UUUACUAUAAUUUCUUUUUCAAUAACGAGACAAUUUUAAUACUACAUAUUUAUUAUUGCUUUACCCUAGUUAGAAGACAUUCAUUUUACAGUCAAAACAACCCACUGAGGGAUCCAGAUAUCUUCAUGAAGUUAUGUUUUUCCACUGAGUUUUCCCCAGAUCUUCUGAGAAAAUAUGGUGGUGUAGUGUCAAAAAUCAUACUUCCCAUUAAUAUUAAAGAUUGACC